UGCGGCGGCCAUGGCCCAGGUGAGACGCCGGUCCCAUUCCGAACCCGGAAGCUAAGGCCUGGCACGGCGAUGGUACUGCACCCGACAGGGUGUGGGAGAGUAGCACGCCGCCGCAU
Molecule: ribosomal RNA, 116 nt
Filed under: Bifidobacterium longum subsp. longum 35B
Lineage: Bacteria; Bacillati; Actinomycetota; Actinomycetes; Bifidobacteriales; Bifidobacteriaceae
Source: RNAcentral